GAUGAAGAACGUAGCGAAAUGCGAUAAGUAAUGUGAAUUGCAGAAUUCAGUGAAUCAUCGAAUCUUUGAACGCACAUUGCGCCCGCCAGUAUUCUGGCGGGCAUGCCUGUCCGAGCGUCAUUUCAACCCUCGGGCCCCCCUCUGCGGGCGGCCCGGCGUUGGGGCUCAGGCGCCGUCUCUGCUCGGCGCCUGUCCCCUAAAUGCAGUGGCGGCCUCGCCGCUGCCUCCUCCGCGUAGUAGCACAAACCUCGCGGCUGGAAGGCGGCGCGGCCACGCCGUAAAACCCCCCAACUUUACCAAGGUUGACCUCGGAUCAGGUAGGAAUACCCGCUGAACUCAAGCAUAUCAAUAAGCGGAGGA
RNAcentral lists this unclassified non-coding RNA (360 nucleotides) under soil metagenome. RNAcentral's name for it is "partial contains 5.8S ribosomal RNA, internal transcribed spacer 2, and large subunit ribosomal RNA". The stretch from base 1 to 120 matches the Rfam family "5.8S ribosomal RNA", at positions 35 to 154 of the family's 154-position model. The record is from RNAcentral.